This 21-nucleotide non-coding RNA is filed under the name Rattus norvegicus (Norway rat). The record is from RNAcentral. Lineage: Eukaryota; Metazoa; Chordata; Mammalia; Rodentia; Muridae.
UGUGGAAGCUUUUCUCAUGCA